UACGUAGGGUGCAGGCGUUAAUCGGAAUUACUGGGCGUAAAGCGUGCGCAGGCGGUCUUUUAAGUCAGAUGUGAAAUCCCCGGGCUUAACCUGGGAACUGCGUUUGAAACUGGAAGGCUAGAGUGUGGCAGAGGGGGGUGGAAUUCCACGUGUAGCAGUGAAAUGCUUAGAGAUGUGGAGGAACACCGAUGGCGAAGGCAGCCCCCUGGGCUAACACUGACGCUCAUGCACGAAAGCGUGGGGAGCAAACAGG
Molecule: ribosomal RNA, 253 nt
Filed under: uncultured bacterium
Lineage: Bacteria
Description: partial 16S ribosomal RNA
Rfam family: Bacterial small subunit ribosomal RNA
Source: RNAcentral